RNAcentral lists this unclassified non-coding RNA (309 nucleotides) under uncultured fungus. Its description in RNAcentral is "sequence contains ITS2". The stretch from base 1 to 52 matches the Rfam family "5.8S ribosomal RNA", at positions 103 to 154 of the family's 154-position model. The record is from RNAcentral. Lineage: Eukaryota; Fungi.
AACGCACCUUGCGCCCUUUGGUAUUCCGAAGGGCAUGCCUGUUUGAGUGUCAUUAAAUUCUCAACCUUGCAAGAUUUUUCUUGUGAGGCUUGGAUGUGAGGGCUUCUGCUGGCUUCCUUCAGUUGGAUGGUCUGCUCCCUUAAAAUUCAUUAGUGGGAUCCUUUGUGGAUGGUCACUUGGUGUGAUAAUUAUCUACGCCGCCUGACUCUGAAACAAGACUUGUGGGGACCUGCUUAUAACCGUCUCUUCGGAGACAACUCUUUUUGACAAUUUGACCUCAAAUCAGGUAGGACUACCCGCUGAACUUAA